Molecule: long non-coding RNA, 222 nt
Organism: Saccostrea cuccullata (small rock oyster)
Lineage: Eukaryota; Metazoa; Mollusca; Bivalvia; Ostreida; Ostreidae
Exons: 3
Source: RefSeq, a predicted model, not a curated record
GUCAGAUUCGAAGACGCCAAAGUGGAUCUUGAUCCUUUCAUCAAAAGUCACCUGUUUGAAACCAUUGUCUUCCUUCAGAAAGAGAUAGGAGUCCACUACACUGAGGAGCUGAAGAGCCAGGCAGCCAAGAUCCUGGGUUCUGUGGACUUCCUUGGGAAUCCCCUGGGUCUGUUUAAUGAUGUCACAGAGUGAAUUUCAGGUCUGAUCAAUGAUGGCAAUGUG